GAAGAUUAUCUCACUGGGUACAUGGAACUUAGAAACUGGGAGCUGUGGACCGGGGAAGGAAAGAAAUUCUGGCUUCAGAGAAAGAAGCAUGAAGCAGAAAGGAACAGAGGUGAACGAUUGAGAGAGUUUGGGGAAAUCCAAAAAUCUGACUCGCUGUAGCGUCCCUCCGCUGGUCCUCUGGGGCUCACAGGGAACCUGCGCUCAGUCUUCUGCUGAAUUGUUUCUCUCUGCCUCAAACACCCUCGGGUCCUUCAACUGCCCCCUUUUGGAUAUGAUCUAGAAUGCCACCCCCAUUUUACACUGCCCCGGAGUUGUCUCUAGCCUCUUUGGAGUGGAGUCCACUGUGGAUCCAAUCCGGCAUCCCACAUUGCAUGUGGUUGCCACAUCUCCUUAGUCUCCUCCAAUCAGUGGCAACUGUACAGCCUCCUUGUCUUUCGUGACCACUUUUGAAGAGCAGCAGUCAGGCACUGAGCUCAGGGCCCACACACAGUAGGGGCUUAACAAACGCUGUGGAAAGGCAGGAAGAAAGCAGAUUAGCUUCUGCAAGAGGCAUGGAGAAGAAUGUUCUGAAGGCAUUUUGUGACUCCCAGCACCUUUCAAAGCUCAGAAAAUCAUUUUAAAAACCGAUGACUGUGAAAUUUCAAUUAUAUUCACAAGGAGGGCCAGAGUAAGCUGCAAGAAGCAUAGAACAGUGGCUGUGCAUUUCACCAGCGGAAAGAGCCUGCAAGAAGAACAAGCAGGAUGGGGACCAGCCUUGAAGCCAGACCCAGCUGUUUCCAAAGACCAGUCACACAUGAGCAGACCCAAAUUCACAGCCCUUGGAAGAAGGGACAGCUCCAUGGACAUUAGAAGUCUAUGAGGAUGGCUUAAAGAAAUAAGCCGUCCUCUGGGGAGGCAAAGGGAGGGGAGGUCGUUAAAAGGAAGUCAGGCCUGAAAGAAACAAGGCUCCGAGCCAGGAAGCCACCUGCUGAAGCAGCCUGGCAUUGUGGAGCAAGCGCUGGAGGUGGAGCAAGGAGACCUGGAUUCCAGACCCUGCUUCUGUCACCUUGCGGUGGAAGUAACUCUAAGCAAAUCAGAGCUCAGUUUUGUCAUCCGUGAAGUGGGGAUCACUCUUCCGUACCCCACCGAGUCGUCAUGAGAAGUAAAUGAGACCACGUAUACAAAGGCUUCCAGUUCAGCUCCAGAUACACCAGCAUGAGUGAUUGAAUAUGAAUUUUAACUGGAUCUAAUGAUGUGACCCAUAGCUCCUCUCUACCCAAGUUGGAUAGUCUGUGAUGUAACAGACCUCAUAGCUUGAGUAAGGGAACAUCUGGGGCCAUUUCCCCAGGCCAGAGAGUACUAGCAGCCCCCAGCUGGGAUGUUUCUGACAGCUCUGGGUUAAGGCUCCUGCAGAAGCCUCCAGCAGCUGGGCAGGAAUGAGGGAUGACCCCCUGCCCAGGCACACCUCUCCCCCGGAGACAGGCUUGGGCUGAUGCAUGGCCCCUGUAAACGUAGCUGCUGGUUAGUGUAAUGUGAUGGAGAGCCAUUAACGUGAGGAUUGGCUGGGAGGAAAUGAAAUAGUAGGGGUGAGAAGGGGAAAUGACAGGGAAUUUGCCUGCUGGGAGAUGUUGAAAGGGGAAGGAUGGGGACAGUCCAAGUGCAGGGAACUACAGUGCCCAAGAUAAGAAGGCAGAACACGCAAAGGUGUUGGGGGAGUGGCCAGGAGCCCCAGGGAAUGUGUAGAAAAAAGAGGAAGGUCAUGCAAAAUCCCAUUCAUCCUUCAAGGGCAGUGCCAAGUGUCCCUUCUUCCAGGAAGAUGUUUCUGACCUGCUCUCUGUGGCUGUGCUCCUGCUCCCAAAUGGCAACUGAUCAUAUUCUUUCAAAUCCCUCCAGUCUGGCCCCAGGUAGACUUCAUUCUCCAAACUCAGCCCUACCACCCAUCUCCAGACCUUUCUUCCACUCGGAGUGCCUUCCAUGCGCCCAUUUUCACCUGGCAAUUCCUUUCAUAUCCUCCUAAGCCAACUCAAAUGCCACCUUUUCUAGGACACGACCCCAGACCAUCCCCCUGCAUCCUUGGAAUAUUUUGCCUGCUUGGAGGCUUCCUUAUGUUUUUCACCAUGUUGUACCACCAUUCAUUCAAAACAAACAUUUACUGAGAGUGGAUACAUAAAGCAUGGCAUAUGCAUACAGUGGAACCCCACUCAGCAAUAAAAGGUAAUGAUUACUAAUACA
Molecule: long non-coding RNA, 2211 nt
Organism: Choloepus didactylus (southern two-toed sloth)
Lineage: Eukaryota; Metazoa; Chordata; Mammalia; Pilosa; Megalonychidae
Exons: 4
Source: RefSeq, a predicted model, not a curated record